Hyla sarda is the source of this 633-nucleotide long non-coding RNA. RefSeq lists it as uncharacterized. The record is from RefSeq and is a predicted model, not a curated record. The transcript has 3 exons. Lineage: Eukaryota; Metazoa; Chordata; Amphibia; Anura; Hylidae.
UCCUUCUCUAAAUACUUCCUCUACAUGGAGAUAACAAGUAGGGGCAAUGCAUUAACUGUGCAUGACUUGGCCAUGUCAUGACAAAAACAUGCAAAAAUAAAACAGACUGUAUGUGACAGCUUCGUGAGGGAAAAACAGCUUGAAGUUUAUUUCCAACUAUUCACAAGAUAUACAAACUGGCAUCUCUUCCUUCAGCAAGAAUAUUCUUUUCUUAUCCUUAUAUGUUCCUCAGUUGCCCUGUGUCAGGAUUCCAUCAAUAUCCCCUUUCCUCGGUCCUAAUUUCAUCUGGCGGAUUCCCCAGAAGAUCAUUUUAAAGGUGGCGAGAAGAAAAGCUUGGACGCCAUUAUUGUCCAACACCCACAAGUCUUUUGUUCAACCUUCAAAGAAUGAUUCUCCUAAUGAAUAGCACAAGGAAUAUAUAACAGGAAGAAAUAUAGGUAUAAAAUCUACUAUCCAAGUGGCUUGGGAGACUGCACAAUUACACCACUAAAAUGGAAAGCUCAGAGUGAACCAGUGAGCAGUUACGCCAGUACCCUCAAAAAGCAGGACAUACUGAAUUGCUGUCUUUUUUGCAUUAGCGAAUAAAAUAAAUAAAAAAAAACUAUAAGUUCUACGACAUUACAAAAACGUGUC